GUAGGUGGCAAGCGUUGUCCGGAAUUAUUGGGCGUAAAGCGCGCGCAGGUGGUUCUUUAAGUCUGAUGUGAAAGCCCCCGGGCUCAACCGGGGAGGGUCAUUGGAAACUGGGGAACUUGAGUGCAGGAGAGGAAAGUGGAAUUCCACGUGUAGCGGCGAAAUGCGUAGAUAUGUGGAGGAACACCAGUGGCGAAGGCGACUUUCUGGCCUGUAACUGACACUGAGGCGCGAAAGCGUGGGGAGCAAACAGGAUUAGAUACCCUGGUAGUCCACGCCGUAAACGAUGAGUGCUAAGUGUUGGGGGGUUUCCGCCCCUCAGUGCUGCAGCUAACGCAUUAAGCACUCCGCCUGGGGAGUACGGUCGCAAAGACUG
This 373-nucleotide ribosomal RNA is filed under the name uncultured organism. RNAcentral describes it as "partial 16S ribosomal RNA". It matches the Rfam family "Bacterial small subunit ribosomal RNA", at positions 527 to 896 of the family's 1533-position model. The record is from RNAcentral.